GGACACAUAGCUCAACGGCAGAGCAUCGGUCUUCGGAACCGAAGGUUGGGGGUUCGAAUCCUCCUGUGUUCG
Molecule: transfer RNA, 72 nt
Filed under: Vairimorpha apis BRL 01
Lineage: Eukaryota; Fungi; Microsporidia; Nosematidae
Description: tRNA-Arg (TCG) (tRNA-Arg-TCG-1-1)
Rfam family: tRNA
About the family: Transfer RNA (tRNA) molecules are approximately 80 nucleotides in length. Their secondary structure includes four short double-helical elements and three loops (D, anti-codon, and T loops).
Source: Rfam by way of RNAcentral